This 997-nucleotide ribosomal RNA is filed under the name Triticum aestivum (bread wheat). RNAcentral describes it as "partial small subunit ribosomal RNA". The record is from RNAcentral. Lineage: Eukaryota; Viridiplantae; Streptophyta; Magnoliopsida; Poales; Poaceae.
CUACGAUCUCUCUGUCCCCACCCCACCACCCGCAGCCCAACCAACCCACCUUAUCCACCCGCAGCCCACCCCACCGCACGUUCUCUCUCCCUCUCUCUCGUACCUUUCUCUCUCGCCGGCGUAUCCCGCUCGCCCGCCUCCAGAUUGACCCGCCGGCGCCACCAGCCUCGGUCCUCCGGCCAGCGAAUCCUCUGCCACCGCCGGCAGGCCUCCGGCCUCCCCUUCCUCUGCUCCGUCCCUCUCUGAAUCCUCCCUCUCUCUUUCUCCAGGAACAACCGAGGCGGGCGGCGCGAGCAGGGCAUGGUCGCUCCGGGCUGCAAGAGACGCGCGGGCGGGCGGCGCUAGCAGGGCAGCCGGCGCGGGAGGCCGCUGCGAGCGACGCUCGGGCGGGCGGCGCUAGCAGGGCGCGGGCGAGCAGGGCCGUGCGGCUACGCGGCGAGCAUGGCCGGGCGCCGGUUCGGAGACCAGGUCGGGCGACCAGGGCACGCCUUCUGCCGGCCGGUGCGGGCAGGGCAGCCGGCGCGGGAGGCCGCUGCAAGCGACGCGCGGGCGGUCGGCGCUAGCAGGGCGCGGGCGAGCUGGGCCGUGCGUCUGCGCGGCGAGCAUGGCCGGGCGCUGGUGCAGAGGAUGGCUGUGCGGUGGCGCGGCUAGGCGAGCAGGGCAAGGCGGCGGCAUGGAUCCCCGGCCAGUAGAAGGACGGCCGACGGUCAAGUCCCUGUUCCUGCAGUGGAGAAGGACGAAGGACUUGAUUGUUUUUACUUUUACUUUCUAGGGUCCUUUGUGUAAAUUUUCAGGACAACUGUGUAACUUCUCUAUAACUCCACCUACAAGUGUAACUUCUCUGUAACUCCACCAGUCCACCUACAAUGAAUGAAAGGUAGCACGGCCGUGUCGAAACCAAAUCUAACGUGAGCUGAACCUGCUCUAUUGAUUUGAUGUUCAUGUGUCCGGCGAGAUGCUCUGCUCUGACGUCAUUUAAAAAAAUGCAAAACAGUCU